GACGAACGCUGGCGGCGUGCUUAACACAUGCAAGUCGAACGAAGUGGCGGACGGGUGAGUAACGCGUAGUAAACCUGCCCUUCAGAGGGGGACAACAGUUGGACACGACUGCUAAUACCGCAUACUGAAGGAGUGGAUUGCGUCGGAUUAGCUGGUUGGAGGGGGAACGGCCCCCCAAGGCGAGGAUCAGGAGCCGGGCUGAGAGGGUGAACGGCCACAUUGGGACUGGGACACGGCCCAGACCCCUACGGGGGGGAGCAGUGGGGAAUCUUUCGCAAUGGACGAAAGUCUGACGGAGCAACGCCGCGUGAGUGAUGACGGCCUUUGGGUUGUAAAGCUCUGUUAAGCGGGACGCGGUACCGGAAUAGAAAGCCACGGCUAACUACGUGCCAGCAGCCGCGGUAAUAC
Molecule: ribosomal RNA, 408 nt
Filed under: uncultured bacterium
Lineage: Bacteria
Description: partial 16S ribosomal RNA
Rfam family: Bacterial small subunit ribosomal RNA
Source: RNAcentral